RNAcentral lists this long non-coding RNA (697 nucleotides) under Homo sapiens (human). RNAcentral's name for it is "HSALNT0240540". The record is from RNAcentral. Lineage: Eukaryota; Metazoa; Chordata; Mammalia; Primates; Hominidae.
CUACAUGCAGAGGAAAAUUCCUUCUAUGGACUAAGCCCUUCACUUUCUUAACCUCAGUUUUCAAGGUUAGAUGUCCAAGCAAAAUUUUAAGAAACUUCUGCUACAAUAAGAUGAUUCCCUUCUCUGAAAGGAAUAACACAUGUUCCGGAAGACGGCCUUUCUUGGGAAACUCACUGAAAAAUGAAUUAAGGGACUUGCCCAACUGUGUCUCGGGGCAGGAGGUAAGAAGGGCAUGACAGCCACGGGACCUUUUCCACCCAUUGACCGACACUCCCUCUUUCCCCAAUUCUGCCCUACAACGUCAGAGACCGGAUCAAAUUUCCCUACUUGCUCUGUCUUCACCUCCCCUUUCUCCCCUGCUCUGUGACGCAUGAUGUCCCUGGAGAGUCCCCCACAUCAUCACAGAACAAAAACAAAAACAGCAGAGAAAAAAUGCCAAACCUCGCUCCCCCUGCCCCCUCUACUAUGAGUCGCCCACACGAUGAGGGUGCUUGGUUUCAAAUACUAGAAAUGAGAUGGCCUUUUUUUUCUUUUCACUUCUGCUAUUUACACAGAAGUGCCUCGGUGCUAAACCCACCAUAAUUCAAGUUUAUUUUUGGAUUUCUCAGCUGUAGAAAUCUACAGAAUGCCAAAAUGGGCUGAAGCAACUCUGUCAAUAGGAGGAAGGAGAGGGUGGAAGGGAAUGAAUGUUGUCGAG